GACGAACGCUGGCGGCGCGCUUAACACAUGCAAGUCGAACGGAAAGGCCUGCUUUCCCUUGUGGAUUGCGGGUACUCGAGUGGCGAACGGGUGGGUAACACGUGAGUGAUCUGCCCCCAACUUGGGUAUAAGCCUGGGAAACUGGGUCUAAUUCCCGAUAGGACUGCAGGGUGGUGCCUGUGGUGGAAAACGAUUUUCUAGUGGUUGGGGAUGAGCUCGCGGCCUAUCAGCUUGUUGGUGGGGUAAUGGCCUACCAAGGCGGCGACGGAUAGCCGGCCUGGGAGGGUGGACGGCGACAUUGGGACUGAGAUACGGCCCAGACUCCUACGGGAGGCAGCAGUGGGGAAUAUUGCACAAUGGGCGGAAGCCUGAUGCAGCGACGCCGCGUGGGGGAUGACGGCCUUCGGGUUGUAAACUCCUUUCGACCGCGAGGAAGCCACCUGGUUGGAAGGGUGGUGACGGUAGUGGUAGAAGAAGCACCGGCUAACUACGUG
RNAcentral lists this ribosomal RNA (494 nucleotides) under uncultured bacterium. RNAcentral's name for it is "partial 16S ribosomal RNA". It matches the Rfam family "Bacterial small subunit ribosomal RNA", at positions 28 to 507 of the family's 1533-position model. The record is from RNAcentral.